CGUCGGGCGUGGUGGAGGUGGAUCGAAACGAUAUGAACUUGCCACUCUCAUAAAAUUCACAGCACAUCUCAUAAAAAAUAAAUCGAGAGCUUGAGUAGGAUCGGGAAGUGGAGGAAGUUGUGCGGGAUCAACAUGAACUUCUUCGUCGGAUGAAGAAUUUGAGGAAGAAUUAUUGUUGGAAGAAUUGGUGGAUGAAGACAUUUUUUUUAAGAGUUGAAGAGAAUUGGUGGAUGUAGUGUUUGUGAUUGAAGGGG
Molecule: long non-coding RNA, 254 nt
Filed under: Salvia miltiorrhiza (redroot sage)
Lineage: Eukaryota; Viridiplantae; Streptophyta; Magnoliopsida; Lamiales; Lamiaceae
Description: long non-coding RNA (SMIL_LNC011470)
Source: RNAcentral